RNAcentral lists this unclassified non-coding RNA (227 nucleotides) under Hevea brasiliensis (rubber tree). Lineage: Eukaryota; Viridiplantae; Streptophyta; Magnoliopsida; Malpighiales; Euphorbiaceae. The record is from RNAcentral.
GUUGCAUUUGUGGAUGCUUAAACUCCACUGAUUUUUUGACAUAAUCAUUUUGUUUCUGCUGGUGCCUUUUUUCCUGGAAGCGGUAACCAUCAUUUUAAAAAAUUUUUUGAAUGCAAGGAGUGUCUGGUGUCUGUAGUUGUGUAGAUGGAUUUAUGUUCUUAUUUGAGUUGGUGGAAUAUACUUAGAUAUUGGAAUUAUGUACGUUAGGAUAAUCUACAUUAUUUAUU